GACGAACGCUGGCGGCGUGCUUAACUCAUGCAAGUCGAACGGAAAGGCCCUGCUUUUGUGGGGUGCUCGAGUGGCGAACGGGUGAGUAACACGUGAGUAACCUGCCCUUGACUUUGGGAUAACUUCAGGAAACUGGGGCUAAUACCGGAUAGGAGCUCCUGCUGCAUGGUGGGGGUUGGAAAGUUUCGGCGGUUGGGGAUGGACUCGCGGCUUAUCAGCUUGUUGGUGGGGUAGUGGCUUACCAAGGCUUUGACGGGUAGCCGGCCUGAGAGGGUGACCGGCGACAGUGGGACUGAGAUACGGGCGAGACUGCUACGGGAGGCAGCAGUGGGGAAUAUUGCACAAUGGGCGGAAGCCUGAUGCAGCAACGCCGCGUGCGGGAUGACGGCCUUCGGGUUGUAAACCGCUUUCGCCUGUGGCGAAGCGUGAGUGGGGGUAAUGGGUAGAGAGGCACGGGCUGGGUACGUG
Molecule: ribosomal RNA, 468 nt
Filed under: uncultured bacterium
Lineage: Bacteria
Description: partial 16S ribosomal RNA
Rfam family: Bacterial small subunit ribosomal RNA
Source: RNAcentral